RNAcentral lists this long non-coding RNA (1603 nucleotides) under Sus scrofa (pig). RNAcentral describes it as "lncRNA (ENSSSCG00040047488.1)". The record is from RNAcentral. Lineage: Eukaryota; Metazoa; Chordata; Mammalia; Artiodactyla; Suidae.
CUUUGGGGCUUGAAAAAUGCGGCAUCCUGUGGAGAAUACAAACCUAAAUAAUCGAGUCCAAACUAGCGGACCGUGAGCUCUUGUGUAUACCAGGCCAGCCUCCUGGCAGCAUCCCUCGCAUCCAGCCCAGAACCUGGCACAAAGGCAGUGCCUUCAGAUGUUGUUUGACUAAAUGGAUAGAGAUGAUAACAGCAUUUCUCGAGCAUUCAUCGUGUGCCAAUUCUCCAUAAUUUUCUAGACAUCUUGCUUUAUCCUCACCACUGUCUUCUGUGGUAUUAUUUUGAUUUCUACAUAACAGAUUUGCUCUUUUAUUUAUGUCACAAUUUAUUCGAGGUUGAGUGUGUAGGGCGUGCAAGACAGGCAACAUACCGGCUCUCUUUAAAGGCGCUUACAAUCCAGUGGAUGGGGAAACUGAGGCUGGCANGGGGGGGGGGGGGGGGGGGGGGGGGGGGGGGGGUUGGGAGGAGAAAGCCCUCCAACCUCCAUCCGCGAGGAGACCAAAUCAGUGAUGGGAGAGUUUCACGCAAAGGAGUGACAUGGUCUGACUUGCGUUUCAAGUGGAUCACUCUGGCUAGCGCGGAGAGCAUGGACCAAAGGGAGUAAUGGUGAAAGCCGAGAGCCUGAUGAAGAGGUUGUUACUGAUGAUCCAGGUAAGAGAUGACGGAGGCUUGAAUGGGGUGGGGAGUAGCGGGGGAGAUUAUGAGAAGGGGUUAGAUUCUAGGCACAUUUUACCAGUAAGCAGGAUUUCCUGUUGGGUUAAAUGUGGGGUGUGAAAGAAACAGGAAUUAAAGGUGACCCAGAGGGUUUUAGCCAGCGUGAUUGGAAGGAUGAAGCAGCUGUAUAUUGAGAUGGGGAAGGCUGAGGAAGAAGCAGGUUUGGGGGCAGAAAGGGAAUAUCGGCGCUCAGGUUGGACAUCUGAAGUUUGAAAUGUAAGAAGGUGGAGUUCCCAUUGUGGCUCAGCAGGUUAAGAAUCUGACAUAGUCUGUGGAGGAUGCGGGUUUGAUCCCUGGCCUUGCUUAAUGGGUUAAGGGUUUGGUGUAGCCACAAGCUGUGGCAUAGAUCGCUGAUGUGACUCGGAUCUGGCAUUGCUGUGGCUGUGGCAUAGGUCUCGACUGUAGCUCUGAUUCGACCCCUUGCCUGGGAACUUCCGUAUGCCACAGGUGCAGCCAUAAAAAGAAAAAAAGAAAGAAAGGAAGAAAGAAAGAGAGGUAAAAAGGCAUCCCAGAGCGAGAUAUUGAGGGGUGUGUUGCAGAGGGUUGAAUUGUGUCCCCCAUCCCCCAAUUCAUGUUUACCUGGAACCUGAAUGUGACCUAUUUGGAAAUAGGGUCUUUGCAGAAGUAACCAAGUUAAGAUGAUUGAUUGGAUUGGACUGGAUUGGAGCAGGCCCUUAAUUCAAUUACUGGUGGUUUAUAAGAAGAGGGAAAUUUGGAUCUAGAGAAACACAAAGAGGGCAGACGAUGUGAAGACACAUAGGGAGAAAACCAUGUGAAGAUGGAGGCAGAGGUGGAAGUGAUACAUCAGCAAGCUGAGAAACAUCAAGCUCCUGGCAACACCAGAAACUAGGAGAGAGGUUGGAAGCAGAUUCUCCCUCAGAGCCCCCAGA